UGCCCCCCACAACUUAUUGGCCCAGCCAGGGCUCAAGACGGCUGCCCCCUUGGCUGUGACCUCAGUUUCACACCUCCUGAAACUGAGGUCAGAUUAUUUUUAGUUCCUCUCCCACUGGUCCUGCUGCUGUAUUAUUCCUUUUCACUAUAAUUUUUAAUGUUCCAAAUUCAAUUGUGACUCUUCACUUGAGAUGCACCUAGGAAGACAGGAGGAGGCUCCUGGUUACAGUCUUGGGGGAAGGAAUAGAGCAUCUUUAAAGGCCUUAUAGCACCAUGGACACUUUCCCUUCUUCCUCACACCAUCCCCUCCUUUCAUUUUCUAAAAAUCCAGCCACUCUGUUGCCUUCCAUGUGCCAGGCGCUGCCCUGGGGAGGCAAAGGGGAGAAAGGUGACCCACACACAAAUUGGACAGUAGAGUCAACACUCUGAUUCUGGAGAGCAGGGCUUGGCCCUGCCCUGCGCAGGCUGAUUUCAGGCUUCCCUGACACGUGCUUGCCUGGGUACAAGACUUCUCACCCCGUCCCCCCCCCAUCCUGCCAUUAUUCCCAACUCCCCAGGCAUUCCUCUUAGACAUCCCCCCUCCCCUCUUGCCUGAGCUGACGCUGUCUAUGCUAUUCCCAGCUAUUUCCCAGUAGAGCAAAUAUCACCAAAAGCACGAUCACAUCCAGAGUAAAAAUAAGCUUGAUUCAACGCCACUUUUAGCUCCAUCAGUGUCUCUGAGCCUCACUUCCUCUGCACUUUAUCUAGGGUCUCCGAGAUGACUGAGUCACUAAAAGCCAAGUUACUCCUUGGCUUUCUGGUUGGAGCCCCUUAUUUCUCAGUGGCCAUCUGCAUGUGUCUGAGCUGACCCUUCUUUGGUUGGUCAUUUCAUGGCUCUGUCCUCCCACCGCUGCCUCGACCAGCCACAGGUCCUCCCCUGGUCGCUUUCUCUCACUCCAUCCUCCUUUCAUUCAAGACAUCAGACUAGGAUAGGCUUGGGUUUUUCAUCAGCUACCCCUGCCUGACAGUUGCAUUUUACGGUGAAAGUGCAUUUAGAGUAAAAGCUGAGGCUGAAGAUGGCUUUCUUGGUGGCCUUUUAAGCUCUCCCUUGGAAAGGCUGUAAAUGGGAAUGACAAAAGGAAAAGGACGAGCCCAGCAACCCAAACCAGCGGGAGCGCCUGGCCUCACCCACUAGGUGAGCAGACGAUCCUAGAAGGGUAGAGUCAUGCCAGAGAUUUCAUAGCUGAAUGGAUUUCCAGCUAUUUCCAGACACAUGGCAAGGGCCCUCAGAGGCUAGUGGUCCCCUGCUCAGUGGCUGCAGAGGUGAGGGUCCCAGCAGGGAUGCUCACUGUCAACCCCCAGGUGCUGAGCUCCCGAGGCUGCCCCAAACCCACCCCCCCCACAGGGAUACAGAGAAGAGCCCUAUGGGAGAGGAUACUCCCAAUUAGGCGAAAAUUAUGUACAUUCCCCACCACCACCCUGGGCACAAAAGCAAAAAAAAAAAACAACCACUUUAUUACACCAGGGCUUGUAAUUGAACACAUCUGAUUCCCUGACUUAAAAAAAAAAAAAAUGUUUUUUUCAUUUUGAAGCAGGUAUUUUUUAAUGGGGCUUAUUUUUUGGGUUUGAGAUCACUGGGCUUCUUGCCCUGUGAAUCAAUGCUUGCUGCUGUGUUGAAAAUGCAUACAUUGGUGACCACAGUAUUAAGCCAAAUUUAAACUCUUUUGUCUCCUCCAUCUGUAAGUGUUAUGUAUCUACCUCAUUAUGAUUUUUUUGGUUUCCUGUGCUUUCGUGUUGUGUACAAUGUCAGAGGUGAAAUGUAGAUAAAAAUAUAUAUAUAUAAAAAUAUAUAUUUUUUGCUUUGCAAUAAAGUUCAAAGCUAUAACACAGAAUAUUCAUGAAAUGUCAUAGCCUUUUAUUAUGCUCUAUCUUCUUAGUUGUGAAUUGUCCUGGGAGCCCUUUUGCCUAUUCACUAGAGUCUAUAUUAUUGUGUUUGUCAUUUGAUGAAUUAGUUUAAUUAUUUUAACUGUACUUUUUGACACGUUGAAUAAGACACUAGGAUUCUUGAACAACUCUUGGUUCCAAAGGUGCUUUAUUUCUGUGGACUUAUGUGAUCAAAUGGAAGGGAAAUGUCUCUGCAGACUUGAAUCUUCCAGAUAAGAUUAUUGAUCUCAGUGCCACUGGGUUUAGAACUAAAGGUUUGUGCGCAGGGGGAAAAAGGAAACAUUGGUUUGGCUUUGACUUUUUGAAGCUUUCGAUAUUGAUUUAUGUCCAACCUUCUUUUUUUUUUUUUUAAAUUUCAAUCUCUUGACAUGGAAUGUGUUACCAACAGACUCCCUAGCAUCCUCAUCUAAUUGGGCUGCUUUCCACUUUUUGACUUGAUUGGUUUCUCUAGGUUGAUUUUACGUAUUGCGCUGUUUGGUGGUGAACCACCCUGUGCCCAGCCCUCACAUCUCCUCUAAACCUUGUGAAACCCUCUUCCUGACCAUGUGUUAAGAGGGACGGUGAGUUGGAAACACUUGUAGUCAACAAGCCAGAGAUAAAGACCCAAAUUCUUCCGAAGAAUCCUGUUCAAGUACAGUUCAGGGCGAAGGGAUCUUGGGUAGAAAUUGCAAGGUGGAUUGUCUGCAGUUGAUUCUAUGAUUGGACAGAAUGAUUUUCAUUUAACUAAACUUAGGCCGUGAGUCCUAGAUACUCUGUAUGGUUCAACUGCCCUCGUUUUUGUGUCUUUUGCCAAAAUGUGUAAAACAUUUCUCAAAUUCAUUACAUAUGUUUUAAAUGGGAUAAAGAAAGGUCUAUACGUUGAAGAGACUUUAAAAUGAUACUUCCGUGAAACUCUGUACGUGUUUUUGUUCUUCCCCAGCUCCAGAGAGCUAGGGGAAAGUCGUAAUCGAAGGCGGGAGAAUGUUUCUACAAACGCCAUGUUUUCCCUUCAGAUACAUACAAUGACUACAGAAAAGAAAAACACUUAUGAUUCAAUUUCAUAAUAUGUCCAUUUUCCCUGCCUUUUUUUUCUUCUGAUGAUCACAACGAAUUGCUUGUUUGUAUUAAGAAUAGACACUCUCAGUUAUAUUGGGGGAGGUUUGCUUUUCUCCUUAACAAGGCUGAACCGGCAUUCAAAGAACUCUGGUUGGGUUAUCCUUUGCCUGUUCUCAGCUAUUUCUCUCUUUUUAUGGUAUAAUGGUCUGUCUAUGAAUUGAAAUGCAGAUAAAAUAUGUACUGAAGGUGGAACACGUGAGUGUUGACUUGAAGGGGGAAAAACUUUAAUGAUAAAUAUAUACUGAUAUAUCUCUAUAUAUACCUAUAAGCAGGUGAGUGGGAAUAUAUGAUAUAUUCACACACCCACACCCACAACACACACAUAGGCACAAUGACGAUAUGCUUCCAAAGUUGGUUUUCUGAUUCUGAGGCAUUUGCCACCUCACUGAGCUUCCCAAGCUUCCAAAAUUUCUUUUGAAAUAAUCGUUUAAAAAAUGUUUUGCUUUGUGUUUUAGGUACUAGAAAGCACAAGUUCUAAUUAUUCCCUGUUCUUUGGGGGACGUAAGUACUGUAGAUUCAGAGGAGCCUGUCUUUAGGUGGGUUUCUAUGGGACCCUUUCUUGCACCACCUCCUUCCAGCCCAUCCAAGGCCGAGAGAAAGUUAUCUGCAGAGCCAUCCACACCCUCCCAUCUUUGCUGUGUCUUUCCAUUCAUCUCAGGUCUCCAGUUUUCCCACGGGGGAGCUCUUGUUUGCUGGAGUCCUUUCUGAAGUUUGGAUCCCAGGCUGACUUCUCUCUCCAUGUAGGCUCUGGGCAUUUCCAUAUUUGCUGCCACCCUUUCUGGAUGACCAGACCCUUCGCACCUCCAAAUCUCUACCAGGACACAGGUAACUAGGAGAUUCCAGGCUGAACAGAAGGAACAUCUUGCUGCAGCUCGGUAGAGGCAUUUUAGGUAGGUGUAUUGUAGUCCUGAGCACCAAGUUCAAUCUGUUUCAUAUGGAGGAAGGUUCCAAAAGGACCAGACUCUAAAGGUAACCUCAGGAGAGGGCAUGACGAAACUGCUGAGCCAGACCAGCUGGUUUUGUCCAUGUGGUGCCCCCUGCUGGCUCACAGGAAAAGCUCCCUUGGUUGAGAGGGAAUUCUUCAACAGAGCAAGUGUGGGAACGGGGGUGGGGAGGGGGGGUGAAGGUCUCUGGCUUCACCUCAUUAUGAAAAGGGAUUGUCUUCUCUGCCAUUCAUUUUCUGCCCAGAGCCCUUGUCUCUGCAAGGCGAGUUGGUCUUUGGUCUUGACCAUUGUUGUUGGGCUGUUGUGGGAAGUUUUUUUGCUGCUGUGAGGAUGCGGUCUUGUGUCGCUACUAGUCUGGGCACUUCUUUGUCCCCAUGAAGGGACAAGGCACUGUCCUGGGAUGUGAUCAUCAUGUCCAUGCUAGAUGGACAUGCUUUCAGCCCUGGCCACGGUUUUUCAUCACCCUUGAACCUCGGGGGGAAUCUGCAACUGGGAACCCACUUCUGACUCUCUAGCUGCUUUCUGAGUAGCCUGUUUCGAGACAAGGACAACUUCUAUGCCUGAGGAACUGUGAAAUCACUUUGAAAUUAGAGGCAGGAAGUGUAUUUCAAUGGGAUGUAGCAAGUAAUACAAGAAUUUCUCCUACCCUGAAUUUGAAGUGUGGUACAGCCAUUGUAGAGACUUUUUGACCUUGGACUUCUCAGGCCACUGGGUCUGCCAUGCAUUGACGCUCCUUGCAAGGACAAGGUGGUGGAUAACUUAUAUUUGACCCCCUGGAGCCUCCUGCCGGACAGUAUUCCUAUUUAAAUUCAGCUAGUCACUUGGCUAUCAAAUAUUUAUUAAACACCUACUAUGCCAGUUGCAGAGCUGGAAUGGUAGGGGCUCUAAAGAGAAAACGAACCUCUAGGAAUUAAAUAUGAGGGGCAAGAAAUGUCCAUAAAUAACCAUAAUACAGUGAAAAACAGAGCCCCAAGAAGGUUCAAGGUGCAAUGGGCAGCCAAAAGAGGCAGCAGUACUUCCAAGGAGAGAUAAGGGAAGACUUUAAAAAGGCUGACAUUUGACUUGGGUUUUGAAGGCUCCAUGGAUGAGAUGCAUGAAGGGUGAAUUGGGUUAGCUGUGCCUGCAGUCAUGUGACAUCAUUCAUUCAUUUGAGAUGUUGAUAGCCUUCUAAUGAGAAAGGAAGACAAUUUCCAGCAGUAUCUCUGUCUGUUUAACAUUCACCCAACCUCGUUGGAAGAACAGUCCUUCAAGCUGCAACUGGUUUCUCUUUGAUUGGUAAUAUGAUUUAGAGAAUGGCAUUCCCUUGUGGAUAAACCCUCUCCCUCCACAAAGUCGUCAUGGCGCUCCCAGAGCUGGGCUUGUGGGCAUGCAUACCUGUUCAUGUACAGGGCUUUCCUCACAGUUUAGUUCCCUGCAGCUUUAGUGUGUCUAAAGCCCAUUCCUCUGGUCCUCCUGUCUCAGUGGAAGCAGGAGGAAUGAGGCCUUCAAGUGAUGGUGGUUUGCAUAUCUCCACAGGUGAGGGCAAGUCAGAGGAUUGGAAGGUGUCCAUUGACCAUUCCAGGUUUGAUUUAAGGCCAAAGGGGAGGAAGAUUGAUUAAUUAAUGGGGUUUCUUACAGCGUAGUACUAACCAUGAGACACAGAAGAGCCCAGUCUCUGUUUCUUAUAAAGUUUCAGUUCAACCCUGGUCUCAGAUUUAGCUCAUAUUUACUAAGCACUUGCUUCCUGCCAGGCACUUUGCCCAGUGCUUUUAGUUUAUCUAACUUAUUCUUCAUAGUGACUUUAUUAUCUGAGGGAAUUUAAUGUUGGGCUUUAUUUUAUAGAGGAGGAGAGAUACAUAGGGGGUUGAAUGGUUUUGCCCAAUUUCCCUGGAUUCAUGAAAGACAAACCACGAUGUGGGCUCAGGUGUCUUGAGCCUCCUCACUUAACCUGGUGGGGGUGUCUUAACUUUAUUUUCUUCCUGCUGCUUAAUUGAACUCUGAGGGUUCACUCUCUAGUGACACAUCUAGGUCUGCGUCAGCCCAAAUGCUUGACUUGUAUAGAAACAACUUAUACUGAAAGUGGCUAAGGGCCAUGGCCUCUGGUAUCAUCUUGAGUUUGACAUAUGGAAAAGAAACCCUUUCCCUGAUUUCCAGUGAUCUUCUCUGAAAAAAGGUGCCUAAACUGUAUCCUAUGAGCACUUACUUUCUAAAUCAAUUGGUGUUCCUCUGGUUUCUCCCAAGGGACUCUUUGGGCAGGAUCCACCUAUGUUGUAGAGAGGAAAUCAGGGCAUUGAGAGACACCAUUAUCUUUCGGAGCCCAAACUG
This 6265-nucleotide long non-coding RNA is filed under the name Sus scrofa (pig). Its description in RNAcentral is "lncRNA (ENSSSCG00000054757.1)". Lineage: Eukaryota; Metazoa; Chordata; Mammalia; Artiodactyla; Suidae. The record is from RNAcentral.